RNAcentral lists this ribosomal RNA (216 nucleotides) under Stenotrophomonas maltophilia. Its description in RNAcentral is "partial 16S ribosomal RNA". It matches the Rfam family "Bacterial small subunit ribosomal RNA", at positions 1 to 214 of the family's 1533-position model. The record is from RNAcentral. Lineage: Bacteria; Pseudomonadati; Pseudomonadota; Gammaproteobacteria; Lysobacterales; Lysobacteraceae.
UAAGUGAAGAGUUUGAUCCUGGCUCAGAGUGAACGCUGGCGGUAGGCCUAACACAUGCAAGUCGAACGGCAGCACAGGAGAGCUUGCUCUCUGGGUGGCGAGUGGCGGACGGGUGAGGAAUACAUCGGAAUCUACUCUGUCGUGGGGGAUAACGUAGGGAAACUUACGCUAAUACCGCAUACGACCUACGGGUGAAAGCAGGGGACCUUCGGGCCU